This 253-nucleotide ribosomal RNA is filed under the name uncultured bacterium. Its description in RNAcentral is "partial 16S ribosomal RNA". It matches the Rfam family "Bacterial small subunit ribosomal RNA", at positions 524 to 776 of the family's 1533-position model. The record is from RNAcentral.
UACGUAGGGUGCGAGCGUUGUCCGAAGUUACUGGGCGUAAAGGGCUCGUAGGCGGCCAACUAAGUCAGACGUGAAAUCCCUCAGCUUAACUGGGGAACUGCGUCUGAUACUGGCGAGCUUGAGUGCAGGAGAGGAACGCGGAAUUCCAGGUGUAGCGGUGAAAUGCGUAGAUAUCUGGAGGAACACCGGUGGCGAAGGCGGCGUUCUGGACUGCAACUGACACUGAUGAACGAAAGCCAGGGGAGCAAACGGG